GGUUUGUGGCCCUAAUGUAACUGUAUGGACAUAAAUGGGUGAUAUACAGAUAUGCAAACACAUACACACACACACAAAAAAAAAUUUUUUUUUUUUACACUGUGGGGUGUAUAUAUAUGUGUGAGAUACACACAUACAAAUACAUACAUCACCACCUUCCCCCACACACACUCCCCACAGGCACAUACACCCCCACCUCUCUCUCUCUCACACACACACACACCCCAUACAUACAUACACACUCUCCACACACCACACCCCCACUUACACACAUUGUACCCCACACACACACUCCCCACAGGCACAUAUAUCCCCCCACCUCUCACACACAUGUACACACCACACCCCAUACAUACAUAUAUACUCUCCGCAUACCACACCCCCACUGACACAGCUUCACCCUACACACUACACACACACUACACACACACUCCCCACUGGCACAUACACACAUACACAUCCCAUCCCAUGCACACAUAUAUACUCUCCACACACCACACCCCCACUGACACACAUUAUACCCCCACACACUCCACACACACACACACUUUCCACAGGCACAUACAAACCUACACACAUCUAUCACACACACACCACACUCCACACACAUACUCCACACACUUUACCACAAACACACACACACACCAAAUAUGAAUUCCAAAAACAUGAAAGAAAACAAAGAAAGAUUAAAAAUUCUCAGAUUUAUUAGUUGUGAUGGUACAGGUUAUGUGUCAACUUCCCUAAGCCAUGAUUCUCAGUGGUUUGGCAGACAUUAUGUAAUCAUCCUCCAUUUUGUGAUCUGAUGUGCGCAGCCAAUCAGUUGAAUGGGAAGUCUCCUUGGGGGUGUUGCCUGCAUCCAAUAUAUAUGGAUGCUCUGGCAAAGCUCACCCUCUCUGGAACUUGCAUCUGACUCGUCAGUUUCUGACCUCCAGUUCCUUGGGACUUGAGCCAGCAGCCUACUGUGUACCUGCAGAUUUUGGGUUCGUCAGCUCCAGCAACCACAUGAGUCAAGAGAAGCCUUUAGCCUGACACCUGACCCAUGGAUUUGGGACCUGCUGGCCUCCACAACUGCGUGAGCCAUUUCCUUGAAAUCUCUCUCUCAAUCUCAUACACAUACACACACACACUCACACACAGAGCCCUAGUGGUGCAGUGGUUAAGAGCUCGGCUGCUAACCAAAAUGUCAGCAGUUUACUCUGCCCCAUAGGGUCGCUAUGAGUUGGAAUCGACUCGACAGCAACGUGUUUGGUUUUUUUGGUUAUAUAUACCCACACAUGCCUCACUAGGUUUUCUUCUCUAGAGAACUCAGCCUAAGACACUAGUGUUCAAAGAAAUUUAAAUUUAAAAAAAUGUUUAAUUGAUGACGUUUAAAAAAAAAAAAAAGACUACUCUGUGUGGACCAGAUCUGAAUGUAGACUGCCUGGAUGGAGCUCCAGGCCCUACUGCUUACUUGCUAGGUGACGUUGGGCAGGGUCCUCUGUGUCUCCUUUAACUCAUCUGUGAUACGGGGAUAUCAGUGCCUACUUCAGAGUGAUGUCUGUGAGAAUUUAAUGAGUAAAAAAAUAUGUCACAUGCUUAGAACAGUGCAGGCCACACUGGGAGAACUACACACAUGCUCGCCCUGGUUACUGUUACCAUUACUGUUGCUGUUGUUGACGGGUCAUGGAAUGUGCUCCCUCAUACACUAGUGGUGGGAACGCCUCUCCAGAAGGCACCUUGGCAAUGUAUAAUUUAACAUUUGUCAGUUGCAUGACUUAGCAAUUCCAUCUGCAGGGCUUUACUCCGAGAAAAUAAACAGAGAAGCCCUCAUGGAUUUCUGUUAACAGAUAUUCAUUACAGCAUUAUUACUAGCAAAGAUGAAAGAGACAAAAAAAAAGGAAGCAACCAGAAGUACCUACACCAGGAGCUUGGUUCUGGUGCUGUCUGCCUGGCUCCUCCAGCAAGAAACCUUGAAGUCAUCUUGUUCCUCCCUCACAUCCAGUUAACCGCCAAGCUCUGUUGUUUCCACCUCCUCUGUCACGAAAGGGACCACUUCCCCUAUUUAUCCCUCAGGGUUCUGCUUAAAUAUUACUUCCUCAGAGGAGCCUUGGCAUUCCCCUUCCCACCAGUAGCCAUGUUAGGUCCCUCUGUUGAAUGCUCAUGUUAUGUUCUCCUUUCUCAAGGCACUCAUCACUUUGGUAAUGAUUCGUUCCCCACUUCUGUCUCCCCCACCAUAUUAUAAGUCCCCCGAAGACCAGGACGCUGGCUGCCUUAUUUACUACUGUAUUACAAAAGCCUAAAAUGGUGCCUGACACACACAAUAUGUCUCCUGACUGAAUAAACAAAUAAAAGAAGGAAUGUCAUUCAGCCUUAAAGUCACCUUCUCAAAGAAUCCAUAUGGCAAAAUACUCAGGAUACAAUAUUAAAUCAGGAAAAAGCCUACAAAGUUGUAUAUACGGUAUGACGUUAAUGUUAUUAGACACAAAUCUAUGUAUAAAAGUCAGAAGAAAGGCACUAAAUUGUUAGCAGCGGUUACUCCUGGCAAUUUUUACUUUAUGUAUGUAUUUUCCAAUAAAUGUCUACUUCCUUUAUAAUCAUGAAAACCGUGAAUAAGCUAGAUGGACAUACCAAGGGAUCCAGGACUUUUGGAAUGAGCCAUAUUUCAGUUCAGGGUCUCUAUGCCCACACUGGAACUCACCCACAACGUACAUCUAUUAAAGCAGUCCAGACAGAAUCCACAGUGAUUCCUCUAAUGAUGAGCUUCCUGCCUUUCUCAUGGGGACAUAUUAGGCUGAGUGCUGAGAGAUGGCAGCUACUGGUUUCAGAAGGAUAACAUACAUUUCCUUCUUUUUCCUAACAGAAAAAUUCAGGAUAAACUUGUCUUUUUUCCUCCUAAGUCACUGUACUCACACAUUCUGGCUAAAAUCUUAAAGGUUGUUAUAGGAGAUCACACAGUGUCUUUUUAUCUUUUGCAGUAAUUGUAGCAGUAGAACUGUCAGAGUGCCACCAAGCCAGACCUCUUGGCCUUGGGAAUUCUUAUGGGCCCAAGAACCCACCACAAAGAUAGGUGGCCUUUUGGAUGGACCGAGGGAGGGAUGGAAUCUAGUGGAAGCUGCAUCCUUAGGAACUUGCAAGCAGUAGUUUUAGUCUUGAUCCAGACCCUGGAUUUCUUCUAUUGCCUUUUUUUCUCAGUGCUUCAGUUUUCCCUUCAGUAACUUGAGGAUGUUAAUGCCCCUCUCUUAAGGUAGUUUUAAGCAGUAGUGGAGUUUACAGCACUACCAUAAGGUCAUGUCUUAGUUAUCCAGUGCUACUGUAACAGAAAUAUCACAAGUGAAUGGCUUUAACAGACAGAAAUUUGUUUUCUCACAGUUUAGCAGGCUAGAAGUCCAAAUUCAGGGCAUCAGCUCUAGGGGAAGGCUUUCUCUCUCUAUCGGCUCUGGAGGAAGGUCCUUGUCUCUUCAGCUCAUUUUCUGGUUCCUUGGUGAUCUCCUGUGGCAUGGCAUCUAUCUUCCCCCAUCUGUGUUCACUUGCUUCCCUGCUUAAUCUGUUCUUUUAAAUCUCAAAAGAGACUGAUACAAAACAUACCCUACACUACUACUGCCUUAUUAACAUAAAAAAAAAAUUCCCAAAUGGGAUUAUAACCACAGGUACACGAGUUAGGAUUUACAACACAUAUUUUGGGGGGGCACAAUUCAGUCCAUAACAGGGGAAUAUGUCCUCCAACCUUCUGCCCACAAGUCCCUCUUAACCAUCACCAUAUGAGGAAAAGCAUGGAAACAGCUAGAGAUGUUCAGCCUGGAGAAGGGUACAAAGAGGACAGGAUGAUGGAACAUAAAAACUGCCAUAUGCAUGAAGGACAGAUUUGUGGCUUCCCAGGGCAAAGCUAGUGCCAGUGGUAGAAGUUCUAGAAAGCCAGAUUUCUGCUUUACCUAAAAAAAGAACAUUUUUGGGGGCCUAGAGUGAUCCAAAGACUGCCUUGUAAGGCAGGACUGAGUCACUCAUCACUGAGAAUAUUUAAGUGGGAGCUGGAAGCUGUCGUAGAGUGGAUUCCUGAGUUAAGUUGGAGACUGGACAGAUAGCCCCUAAUAUUCCUCCCAACUCCAAGAACCUAUGUGCCUGCCACUUGGGUCUUACUGCUUUUGGAACUGCUUAAAAAGAAUUGCAGUUCCUCCAAUUCAUCCUCAAUAGCAUUUUAUCUAAGCCCAGCCAGAGCUACAGCUGCUAGGAGGCCUCCUUCCCUGCUCACCUUCAGUGGGGACAAGUGUCUUAUUCAUGGCUGUCCAUCUCCUUAUCACAGGAAAACCUCACAAUACAAGCCCUGCCUGGAAUUGAUUUGAGAGCAACAGGUCCCUGAAUAAAAGUCAGGACUGAAAUUCCCACCCUCCCUUGCAGAAAGGGUGAAGUCUUGUGACCUAGGCUCCAAGCUUCAAAUGCUCUUUUGCAAGCCUUGAAUUUGAAAGUGAACGACAUGAAGGGAGGGGGCAGGGAGGAGGUUCUUCGUGGUGCUCCAACACCGUCUGACAGGAGCGUGGGGAGGCAUCUGGCUUUUUAGUGGUGGCAGAGGCAGCUGUUUUCCAGACAUUCUAAGGUCAAGCCCCAGGACCAGAAGUUCCAUUAGUUCUAGCAGUGGCUUCUCAACCAACCAGCAUUUAGUGUUUAUAAGUGGCAGAGGCAACAGCACUUGCCUCAUCAAGUUCUGUGGCAAGGUUUUGGGAGUGCUCCUGGAAGUUUAGCCUCAGCUCUGACUCCUUCCUGCCUGUGACUCUGUAAGCUUCCUAACAUCACUUACGAGAAUGACUUGAUGCUCACCAGACCCAUUUUGUCUUCAUCCUUGGGCAUAUGCACAGCCAGAUUGCCCUCCUCUGCUUCCCUUACAAUUAUGUGGUCACAUGAUUGAGUUUUGACUAAUGGAAUGUGGGUGGACUGAUGUCAAUUCCAUGCCUGAUCCUUAAAACUUCCCUGAAAUCCUCCAUGUUCUUAUCUCCUAGCCAGAUGUAGACGAUCCAGGACCCAGUGGAAGAUGUUAAGAUCCCUAGAAGGUGGUGGAACCGUUAGAUGGAAGGAGCCUGGGUCCUUGAAUCACGUGACUGAGCUGUAAUGUCAGCAAGAAACAAACCUCUAUUUUAUUAAGCCACUUCGAUUUUGGGGUUGUACGUGAUAGCAGUUAGCCUAUUCUGACUAAUUCACUUAGAGAGUCCAUUUUCUGUUGUGCUAGCCAAAGUAGAUUUUAUUUUUUUACAACUAGGAACUCUGAGUGUUUCACUCCCCUCGUUGGUCUCCUGUCAAGAAGUCUGAUUUGCUGAUUUGGCAGUCACACCUGCAAGCUCCCUCAGAAUGGGAGGCACCGGACUGGGCUUAGACUUCCAGCCCUCCUUUUAAUACAGGAUGGAGGUAAGUGAGCAAGCACUCUGGCCAGGAGAGUCCCAGCCUUCCUAGGCCCAGGCCACAAGUCUCUUUGCGGUAAAGUUGGCUCUCAGAUGCUUCUCCUUUUCUCUGCUGGUCAUGAUGGGGCCUGUGUCUUCAUCCCCGCCUCUUUUCUAGUUGCUGAGGGAAGUCAGGCAUGUUCUUCCCAGUAGAGCUGAACCCUGCAUAUGGAAUUCUGCCUCCUCUUUAUUGUACGGUGAAGCCAGCUCUGGGUCAGGAGCCCAGAGAACCAUCUCUAAAAGAAAUUAUCUUGCACCUAACUGAAACCCAGCUUUGAGUUUCUGCAGUACAUACCCUUAGCAUGUCUAUCCAGCUCACUCCUUAAACAGCCCCCUCACUCACUGGUGUUGCCUCUGGCAGCCAUGUUUGCAUCAUGUGACUCAGCCCUCUGGUCACAGUUGAUUGGACAACAGCAGGGCACAUGACCCAAUCUGGGCCAAUCAGAUAUUUUAUGCCUGAAAUCUGGAAAUGCACUUUGAGGCUGGGCUUCUAUGAUGAAUAGAACAGAUGUAAACUGAUAAAUGAUGGGACCACAUUUUACCCGCAGUUUAGACCAAGAACAGUUCUAGAGGAAGCCAAUCUGCUAAGAAUAAUGAAACAGCAGGAGUAGGGAAGAAAAGGGGAGAGAAUGAGAAAGUAGGAACUUUUUGAGCCUUGCUGCAUCCCAGCCAAGGGGUCCAUGAGAAAACCCUCUCUCUAUGAAAUACAUUUGCUUAAGCUAGUUUGAGCCACCUUGUAAAAUUUAAAUAGAAGGGCAUUAAGUGAUACAGGAGGAAUAGUAGAAAAUGUUACCCUACCCAAUGCCGCCUCCUGGAAGCCUCAGCGCCUACCGGUUUGUCAUGAACUGAGAAACCUAAAAACACUCAAACACGGCUGGAGAGAGUAUGGCGGCUGGAUACAUCUCUUGGGGUUUAUCUGUAAGUAGAGCUUAUUAGGAGCCCUGGCUGUGCAGUGGCUAAGAGUUCGGCUGCUAACCAAAAGGUUGGCAGCUGGAAUCCACCAGCCGCUCCUUGGAAACCCUAUGCAGCAGUUCUACUCUGUCCUGUAGGGUGGCUAUUAGUUGGAAUUGACUUGACUUGGGUUUGGGUUUUUUGUUUGUUUCGAGCUGGAGAGGAUAUUAGCAUUUCUGUAGUCCAACAACCUUACUUCAUGGCAGAGAAAACCCAAGCCCAGAGAGGAAUAGCAACUGACCCAAACUGGCACAGCCAGUCGGGGCUGGGACUAGAACCCUACUCCCAGCCUCCCAGCUGCAAGGCUGAUUUAAAUUCCGUUUCGAAUUAGCAUCCUUUUCCCACAUUUGGCUCCAGGGCGCAGGGGCCAGGCGGUAGCUAUCAGGAUAAGCAAGCACGUGUUGCUAGGCUGGAGACAAAUGAUGCGGCUAAUUCUCCGUGCCCGGCUUGUUCUCGCGCCCCUGUGACGCAGCCCUUCCCGAGCACUUGUGCGGACUCGGCGGCCCGCCGCGGGAGCAGCUGCAGAGGCCGGGGCCUCCCUGGGAAGACGGGGGAGGCUCCAGACCCCACCCCCAGCCCUGCGCUGCGGGGGCAGCCAGCACUCGGCAGCCAGGGGAGGGCCCAGCCCAGCCGGGGCAUUCAGAGUUAAUUAGCCUUCAUGAAUAUGGAUGCCACCGCCGAUUUAAUACGGUUGGGAGGUCGUAACCUGACCUCAGCGAGACAUGCAUAAAGAAAAUACUACUUUUCUCAGCUCGGUUCCUAAUUGAAAGCCUGAGUUGUCAGACGCGGUGCUGUGGGUGUGAGCGUGUCCCCCGCCCCCCGGCUCUCGGUGCAGAAGCAACACUGACAAGAGCCCGCUCUCCCAGGCCCGGUGGCCUUGCCUAAGCGCGCCCAUUAUCAGUCACUUUAAUGAACUACAGGAAACUGCAUUUACAUCACGUUAUUACCUAAUUGAUGAACUAUGUGAGUCGACGUGGAGCUACUUUGAGAUUCUUCAGUGGCGAUUAGUGACAAUCACUGGGCACUGAGGGGCGUUGGAGAGCGGUACACUGCAUGCUGUAGUGCAGUGGUUUGGUCCAUUUUGAGAAUGAAACGUCUGGUCCUGCACCAUCCUCACUAUUGUUCCUAUGUUGGAGCCAUUGUUGCAGCCACCAUGCCAGUCCAUCUCAUUGAGGAGUUUCAUCUUUUUCACUGACUGUCUGCUUUACCAAACAUGAUAUCCUUUUCUAGUGAUUGGUUUUUCCUGAUGAUAUGUCCAAAGUAAGCAAGACAAAGUCUCACCAUCCUCACUUCUAAGGAGCAUCCUGGCUGUACUUCCUCCAAGACUGAUUCAUUUGCUCUCUGGCGGUCCUCAGUGUAUUCAAUAUUCUUCACGAAGGCCACAGUUUGAACACAAUAGGCAUACGAUAGGCGCAUGAAUGGAAAAGCUGGAAGCACUAGGAUUUUGUUGAUGUCACUAAAGACUUAACUCUGCGUGUGCUGAUUUCUGAUGCUGCCCAGGCUGUGCGCAGUCCAGAUGGUGUGGGUAGUCACAGCCAAUUUAAAAGAAGUGAUGCCCAAAUAGAUAUAAAUCCCUCCUGGACACCCAGCUACUGUCUCUCUGCUCUCAUUUCUGCCAGAACAAGCCACUUUCAGAGACAACACACUGCCAGACUGAGCCAAAAAGCUCCCAGAGUUUGAUGCAUAGUGCCUGGCAUCUUAAAAGCUUGCAAAUGGCCAUCCAAGCUGCAAGUCUGUUCACCUGGAGCAACAGAGGAAGAAGGAGAGUCAGAAAUAGGAGGAGGAUAUGGAAUAUGUGGCUAAUUGCCUCUACGUACAACUGCCUCCUCCACCGUGAGAUGAGGAGAACUGCAUGGUGCCCAGCUACCAUAACUGAACAUUUUGAUCAAAGAUUUCAUAGAAGAAUCCUGAUCAAAAGGGGGAAAAUGCAGAACAGAAUUUCAGAUUCUCAUGGACUCUAGACUUUCUGGAGCCAUGGAGGGUGGCUGAACCCCUGAAAUCAUUGCCCUGAGAUAACCUUUAAACCUUAAACCAAAAAUAUCCCCUGAAGUCAUCUUAAAACCGAACAGCAGUUUAACUUAACUAGUAAAAAAAAGGUCUGUCUUGAGCAUUAUGCUCUUUUAAGAACUAUCUAUAUGGGACCAAAUUGACAACAGCAACUUGGAAGAUUAGAUAAGAACCUUAGGAGGCAGUGAGUUUAUGUUAAUGAGGGAAGAACAACUCAGAAAAAGAGGGCGAGAAUGGUUGCACAACUUGAAGAAUGUAAUCAAUAUCACUAAACUGUUGAAUUGGUAUAUGUUUUGCUGUGUAUGGAAACCCUGGUGGCGUAGUGGUUAAGUGCCACAGCUGCUAACCAAGAGGUCAGCAGUUUGAAUCCGCCAGGCACUCCGUGGAAACUAUGGUACAGUUCUACUCUGUCCUGUAGGGUCACUAUGAGUCGGAAUUGACUCGACGGCACUGGGUUUGGUUUUUUGGGUUUGCUGUGUAUAUUCUCAAUGACAUAAUAAAUGAGACUUAGAAAAACGAACAAACAAACAAACAAAAAAGGCAGAACACCAGCCCUGAGCUGAAAGGCUCCCCAGCCCUCUAAUAUGAGGAGGAAGUGAGAGGAGUGAGUGAUUACAGACUGACAAACUCCAAGGACAUUUGUCCCUAGAAGAUAAGAAUCUAGGGACCUCUAAACAGUUAUAAAAGGUAUCACAUUCAGAGGUCUUGCUUGGGUCUUUCCAGGCACCUCGGGUAAGGCAAGUCAAUGUGGUGCUGCUCUGAAGGUUGGGGGCAGGUCCAGGUCCCAAGGACCACCGCACCAGGGCCAUCUCACUCAGGGAUACCUCCUCAGGCCACCUGGGAAGGCCUUCUUUGAGCCAAUUCUGGUUCAGACUAAGGAGACAAUGCCUGUUUUCUGUUACAUACUAUGGCCUCUGAUACUACUUGGACAGUUACCUCCAGACCUUGGCAGAUGUCCUAACCCCACCCGUCCCCCUGUUUCAAAGGGCCACUGUCAACAUCCCACUCGCACCCGCCCUCCUUUCAGGAGACAUUCCAGGUCAACCCAGAAGGAGUCAGAACUGAACCACCCACCUGCUGUAAGGCCAGGGAUGCCCCCAGCUCAGCACCAGCCUAGUAAAGUAGCCUGGAGCUCAUAAAUCCUGUCUCCAGCACAGUCCCAAAAACUCCAAGGCAGCAUGCUCUCUUGUUCAUCUUUGUUUUUUCUUUAAUUGAAAUAAAGUUUAUUUACUUGUCAGAACAAUCAAGUUAUGCCUAAUUUUUGUUGUUGUUAUUGUUUUUAAAUUUUAUUUAUUUUGUCGUUGAGAAUAUAUACAGCAAAACAUACAUCCAUUUGGCACUUUUUACAUGUACAGGUCAGUAUUGGCACUUUUUACAUGUACAGGUCAGUGACAUUGAUUACAUUCUUGAAGUUCUCGUUCAUCUUGAUAUUUUGUUCAAUACGAGUUUCCGUGAUACUUCUUUGCCUGUCUUCGAAGAGCCGUGCAGCUAGGAGCUCCUCUCUUAGGCUCUGAAACUAAAUAUAUGCUGAAAUGUUGAUGUGAAACUUCUAGAAAAAGGAAGAAUUUCAGGAUUUGUUGACUAGUGCAAGUGAGACUCUGCAGUUCUCUAUUAUUUGUGACUCUCCUUAUUUCACAGGAAAAUGGUUUUCCAAAAAGACCCACAGUGACUGUGUUAAGUUGGUGCCUGGUCCAAAGUAAAGCCAUGAAAUCCUUGCUACCAUCCUUCCACCCUCAUGAGCCAGGUUUAAUAAACCAGAGCACAGCAAGUCCCCAGCUAAUCAGAACCUACAAAGCAGCUGGUGAGAAAUGAGGAAGAAUAUGGACUCCUGCUAUGACAACAUCUCCCUCCACCCGUCUUCUCAUUGAAGAUGGUCCUAGAGUGAGGUGGGCUGUGGGCUGUGGGCCAGGGCCCUGAACACCUUGUGCUGAAUGCUGAGACCCACUGAGGCAGGUUGGGGAGCACUGUUACCACCGGACAAGUCUUUGUUAAGCAUCUGUCCCUUGCCCGGCCUUGUCCUGGAGCUGCAAGAAAUGAGAAGGAGGGCCUCAUCCCUGUCCUUGGCAAAAGGAAGCCGUUUCUCUUCGUGGAACCAUAGUCCGUCAGACUAUGCCUCAGUGAAGUGGAGGGGUGCUUUAUAAAGAGCAUCUUGAGCAGAGAAAGCAACUCAAGUAAGCUCAGAAGGGGCAGCAGAGGGGGCCCCAGGGAUGGCAAAGCUGGUGGGUGAGCCCCUGCUACAGUUUGAAUUGUUGUUGUUGUUAGAUGCUGUCAAGUCACCUUCAAUUCAUGGUGACCCCACAUGCAACGGAAGGAAAUGCUGUGUGGUCCUGUACCAUCUUCAUGAUUGCCAGCAUGUUUGAGUUCAUUGUUGCCUUCCAACCUAGGGCUUCGUUUUCCAGCACUAUAUUGAACAAUGUUCUGUUGUGAUCCAUAGGGUUUUUACUGGUUUAUUUUUGGACUUAGAUCACCAGGCCUUUCUUCCUAGCCUGUCUUAGUCCAGAAGCUCUGCUGAAACCAGUCCACCAUGGGUGACCUUGUUGAUACUUGAAAUACCGGUGGCAUAGCUUCCAGCAUCACAGCAACAUACAAGUUACCAAAUACAACAAACUGACAGAUGGGUGGUGAAUUGUUUGAAUGGUGUCCCCCCAAAAAGAUAGGCUGAAGUCCUAACCCCUGGAGCCAAUGAACAUGACCUCUUUUGGAAAUUGGGUCUUUGAAGAUAUUACCAUUUCAGUUAAAGUGAGGUCAUGCUGGAGUAGAGGGGGCCCUAACCCAAUCUGAGUGGUGUUUUUAUAAAAAACGAGAAGAGGCACAGAGAGACAGACUGGGGGUGGACAGCUUUGUGAACAUGGAGGCAGAGGUGGAGUGAUGCCACAGCUGCAAGCCAAGGAAUGCUUGGGGCCACCAGAAGCUGAGAGAGACAAGAAAGGCUCUUAUCCUAGAGCCCUCGGAGGAAACGUGGCCCAACUGACACGCUGAACUCAGACUACCAGUUUCCAGAACUGUGAGAGAAUAAAUUUCUGUUCUUAAAAGCCACCCGGUUUGUGGUAUUUUGUUAAGACAGCCCCAUGAAACCUGUACAGCCCCGCACGACUGUUCCUCCCCCAGCUCUGAAGGCAGAGAUGCUAACCAGAUUCCUGGGUAUGUGCACGCCUGUUUUUCUAGUGCUGACUUUAAACAUUCGCAGGCCAGAUAGAAUUCCAAGAUGACUGCCUGCCUCCUGAGCCCCGAGAGCAGGCACAGGAGCC
Molecule: long non-coding RNA, 11608 nt
Organism: Loxodonta africana (African savanna elephant)
Lineage: Eukaryota; Metazoa; Chordata; Mammalia; Proboscidea; Elephantidae
Exons: 5
Source: RefSeq, a predicted model, not a curated record